Paralichthys olivaceus (Japanese flounder) is the source of this 817-nucleotide non-coding RNA. The record is from RefSeq and is a predicted model, not a curated record. Lineage: Eukaryota; Metazoa; Chordata; Actinopteri; Pleuronectiformes; Paralichthyidae.
AGCCCGGACAGGGAGAAGUUCCUGGUCCUGGGCUCCACCUGCAGCCUGUGCAGCCUCUGUGUCUGUGCUGGGUCGGACUGCAGUCUCUUCUACACCAAGAGGUUCUGCAUGCAGUGUGUGAACAAACACCUGGACCAGUUCCCUCAUCAGAUCCAGUCCGAGCUGGCCAAGAAGAAGCAGAGCUCCAAGGCUGCCGUGUCAUGAAGUCGGGCGAGAUGUCCGUAAUUUGCUCAGGUGUCUCGGACUAAUAGCUUUUGUCAUGAAGUGUUUUUAAUAAGCACGUUUUGAUUAAAGCCACACUGGGUGAAACUAUAAAUACACAAAGCUGUACAACAAAACAUCCUGUUCUGAAUCCACCUCGCUCUCGGUUUUGAUCACUGAUUGGAAACACACUUCCAUCAGAAAAAAGUACAAAUCUAUCCUUGUGGCCAGGAUGUUAACCUGCUGCAUUAUAGUCAGCCAGGUUUUAUUUGUUUAUUGCAGAGUUUUAUAGAAGUAAACUGCAGGUGUGAGGAGAGCUGCCAGACCUCUGUUGGAUUGUGUUUGCAGGCUCACAAUCAAACCUCCCAAUUAAAAAUGGCUGCCAGUUUAAAAUCUGAACUUUCCCCAAAUUUCAUAUCCAUAAUGGUCAGCUCAACCCACAGCAGCUAUUCUAGUCUCUCUGUAAAUAGUUUCGACAAUAUUACAGCCAUGAGCGAAUGAGUGAAAAGAGCAAUGUGGAAGCAAUAGUUCAGUUGCAAGUCACACUCAGGACUAGAUUUAUGUUUCCACUGCCGUCAAAGUGGAAAAAAAUAAUAAAUGUUAUUCAAUUUUUUAA